Molecule: ribosomal RNA, 377 nt
Filed under: uncultured bacterium
Lineage: Bacteria
Description: bacterial SSU rRNA
Rfam family: Bacterial small subunit ribosomal RNA
Source: RNAcentral
UAAGACGGAGGGCGCAAACGUUGUUCGGAAUCACUGGGCGUAAAGGGCGCGUAGGCGGGACUGUAAGUCCGAGGUGAAAGCCCGGGGCUCAACCCCGGGACUGCCUUGGAAACUGCAGUCCUCGAGUGCAGGAGAGGAAGGCGGAAUUCCAGGUGUAGCGGUGGAAUGCGUAGAUAUCUGGAAGAACACCAGUGGCGAAGGCGGCCUUCUGGACUGACACUGACGCUGAGGCGCGAAAGCUAGGGGAGCAAACAGGAUUAGAUACCCUGGUAGUCCUAGCUGUAAACGAUGGGUACUAGGUGCUGGGCGUUUCGACACGUUCAGCGCCGCAGCUAACGCACUAAGUACCCCGCCUGGGGAGUACGGCCGCAAGGCUG